This 301-nucleotide ribosomal RNA is filed under the name uncultured bacterium. RNAcentral describes it as "partial 16S ribosomal RNA". It matches the Rfam family "Bacterial small subunit ribosomal RNA", at positions 509 to 808 of the family's 1533-position model. The record is from RNAcentral.
CAGUCGCCGCGGGAAUACAGAGGGUGCGAGCGUUAAUCGGAUUUACUGGGCGUAAAGCGUGCGUAGGCGGCUUCUUAAGUCGGAUGUGAAAUCCCUGAGCUUAACUUAGGAAUUGCAUUCGAUACUGGGAAGCUAGAGUAUGGGAGAGGAUGGUAGAAUUCCAGGUGUAGCGGUGAAAUGCGUAGAGAUCUGGAGGAAUACCGAUGGCGAAGGCAGCCAUCUGGCCUAAUACUGACGCUGAGGUACGAAAGCAUGGGGAGCAAACAGGAUUAGAGAACCCCGGUAGUCCCUGUCUCUUAUA